This 1307-nucleotide long non-coding RNA is filed under the name Dromaius novaehollandiae (emu). RNAcentral describes it as "lncRNA (ENSDNVG00000010647.1)". The record is from RNAcentral. Lineage: Eukaryota; Metazoa; Chordata; Aves; Casuariiformes; Dromaiidae.
CCCGGGGGGGGGGACACACACACACGCACACGAGCGUGCAAGGGGAGGCGGGCAGCUGCACACGCGUGGGCGCGGGGGUUCACGCGGAGGCGGGAGGGGCAGCGUGCAGAGCGAGAGUGCGAGCAGCCGGCGUGGGGCGGGCGGUGAGCGUGCAAAGGGAGGAGCACAGUUUGUGAGUGUGCAAGGAGAGGAGGGCGGCAUGCAGCUACGUGCGUGUGCAAGGAGAGGUGGCAGUAGGUAGACGAGUGUGCAAGGGGAGGAGGGUGAAAGCGUGCAAGGGAGAUGCAGUGACGUUCAGUGGUGGCUGCCCCGCAGCACGGGCCCUGGGGCACGGAGCCCGGCUGACCUGGCCGGGGGGAGCGGGCAGCGGGGCACGCGGGUGCCGCUCGGGGCGCAGCGCGGCGUCUCCUGUUGCUCUGCCACAGCCGCGCGAUGGAGGUCAGCCACUCCGUCAAGGAGCGCACCAUCGCCGAGAACAGCCUGGUCAUCCUGCUGCAGGGCCUGCACGGCCAGGUCACCACUGUGGACCUCCGUGACGAGAGCACGGCCACCGGGCGCAUCACCAAUGUGGACGCYUUCAUGAACGUGCGCCUGGCCGAGGUGACCUUCACGGACAGGCAGGGCACAGUGUCCCACUUGGACGAGCUCUUCGUAACYGGCAGGAACGUCCGCUACGUCCACAUCCCCGACGAGGUGGACAUCAGGGCCACCAUCGAGCGGCAGCUGCAGGCGAUCCACAGGGUCCGCUACUUCGGAGGCCGUGACAAGGGGAGGAAGGAGUUCCCCCGAGCGAAGCACAAAUGAUCCCUUCUGGUGCUGCCGGAGCUCCAGGGCCAGCACGGACCCUGGUGCCAUGUGCGCGGGAAGGCAAGGACAGAUGUGCCCCCUCUUGACAGGACGCUGGGGCUUCCUGCCAGCUGCCUCCGCACCUUGCCCUGGGCAUCCCUCCCAGGGAGGCAGGGCUCUGCUUCUCCCUGGCCGGUGCCUGUGGGASAGCAUGAGGAUCCUCAGUGCAAGGUCUAUGUUAUCACCCAGGACACAGCGAAUGCUACCGCUGCCAGCUCCUCUGCUUCCUCACUCCUCCGUAACUCUUCCCCAAAGCUCCGCACCACUUCCCAGCCCCCUGAGAGUCUGCCUAAAAUACUGCCAAAGUCAACAGAUGACUUCAUCCUGUUUGUUACAGGCGUCUCUUUGUUACCGGUGCAGCCUGGCCUCCUCCGGGAUGGAGCUCGGUGGCUCUCGCCCCGUGUGUGCGCUGCUCUGCCUGGGCACGGCAUCCCUCCAGGCUCGCUGGGGCGACCGCGGGG